This 136-nucleotide microRNA precursor is filed under the name Hordeum vulgare. RNAcentral describes it as "microRNA MIR1122". It matches the Rfam family "MIR1120/MIR1122 microRNA precursor family". Lineage: Eukaryota; Viridiplantae; Streptophyta; Magnoliopsida; Poales; Poaceae. The record is from RNAcentral.
AACAUACUCCCUCCAUCCCAAAAUUCGUGUCCUACAUUUGUCUGGAUAUGAAUGUAUCUAGUCACGUUUUAUUAUUUAGGUACAUCUAUUUCUAGACAAACCUUAGACAAGAAAAUUAAGACGGAGGAAGUAUGCA